UUUCGCGGCUCCAUCAAUGCUGCAUCGUAAAUAUGAUGUAAACAGAAGUAAAUUGCUCAAUUACUCAAAAUAAAGAUGAUUUGUCAUCUUGUUAUCACAUUGAAGACCAUCUAGCACCAUUUUAUAGUAUGGUGCGUGUUGAGUAAAGUAAGUUCCGUUGCGUUUUCCGUCGAAAAUUGUGAGUAUCAAUAUGUUUGCUUAGAAAAGGCCAAAAUGAACAUUUAUUGAAUAUUGGCGUCCUAUACAACCAAUUCUCCAUUACCACCAGCAUGAUACAACCUUUCCUAAGUAAAUUAACUUAAUUUCCACUUUCAUCUUAGUGUAAAUCGCACAUAUUCAUCAUUUUCCGAAAAAUGCAGCUGCGCAGGAGGUAACCUCUCGCUGUGGGUGCAAACUUGUUAUGCAUUAUUUUCCAUGAAAACCUCUCCGAUCCAUACCGAAAUAAUAACAAUUAGUUUUCAAACACGUUUUCUUACACGAUUCAAGCAAAAGUUUCCACGGGAAAUUAUUCGUUUUUCUUUAUGGACCGGUUUGCCCCAAAAAUCGUCUGUUUUACUUGGAAAAUUUGGAAACUAUCCUCCUUCUAGUAGUUCUCACUUCGAAAUGUAGGAGGCGAAAGCUUGGAAAAGUUUCGCUGCAAGACGCCAAUAAGCCCCAUUAUCAGCACUUUCCCCAGCUAAUUUACCAACCAGACCGUGUUCAAACUCGCACACGCGUAACAUCCGAACACGGUGAACCGGCCUCCCGGUAGGCAAUGAAAAUCGCAAGCAAACUUACACACCGCUGGUUACAAAAAAACACACCCGUGCAAAGAAACGGAUCCAAUAAACGUUACUCUCGCGAAAGCAAACCCGUCGUCUUUGAACGGCGAAAAAAAAGGAACUCGGUGAGCAAUUUUGUGAUACGGAAUUUCCACUGAAAAUCAACCGGGAAUGCACGAAUUUCACAGAACCAACAUCAACACCGACCGUGCCGAGCUCUUUCACGCACCUUGCCACCCCAAAGCAUGUCUGAUUGAGCCCAAAUUUUGCAUAGGGUCUGUUGUCGAGGCAAUGAAGAUUUUUCGAGCUGUGUUGGCAAAAUCAGAAAUCAAUUGAUAUUUUUCCGUUCGCCAGAAAAUGGCCUUACAAGGUUUGUUUACAAAAUGGAGUUAAGGCCAUUUCAAUUGUUGAUCUUGAUAUGUCCAAAACGUAAACAAAUCGGGUUUUGAUACCAUUCUUUAGCACCGCUUGAUAGGUACUAAUCGUAUAGGAGUGUUUCGCAUAAUCGAGAAAAAUCAUUAAAAAUAACUCGAUAUUCGAAACGGCCGAUCAACGAAAUUUUUCAAUUCAUUAAUAGGCCCGCACGCUAAAACGGCCAACCAUUCAUUUAUUUCAUUUAAUUGAUAAGCCUAGUGACGUAGAAGGGCCGAUGAUUGAAAAAUUUCAAACCAAAGCUAGGCCCUACUGCUUGAGGCAGGGCCGAUGAUUUGUUUUGAAUUUAUUUGACGUUGCGAAAAUGCUUAGAGUACCAUUUGUGAUGACAAGCACAAUGGCUUAACAAAAAGGGCCUAUCCAUUGAAAGGAUCACAAAUAGGCUUAUUAAGUUAUGGUAUUAAAUUGUCAUCGAUUUUCAUAUAUAUUUUGAAAGCUUUUCGCAUAUUUUGGAUGUUGUAUACUGAGAUACAGUUACUAUUGUUAUUGUGAACAAUAUAAAUGCCUAAAAUACUUCAGUUUUCUUAAAUAUGAAUUGAAUAGUGGCGGAAAAAUUUAAAAUUCAUUUUCUGGUUUGUUUACGUUUUGGCCGUAGGCAAAUUUCAAAUGUUACAGGAAUUCAAGCCGCGCUAACGCAAACCAUCAUUACCAUCGAAUACGGGAAUACUUUCCUUAUCUGAUGGUGAUAUUUAUUUGCUUGGGCGAGCCUUGAGUUUCUAGAAAUCAUCGAGAGAAGUCAUUGUUUACAAAAGCUGUUACGCCCUAAUUCCAGCUCUAUCUAGAUUUGGUAAAUAUUCGG
Long non-coding RNA from Ochlerotatus camptorhynchus, 1992 nucleotides. RefSeq lists it as uncharacterized. The transcript is spliced from 2 exons. The record is from RefSeq and is a predicted model, not a curated record. NCBI's taxonomy places the organism in Eukaryota, Metazoa, Arthropoda, Insecta, Diptera, Culicidae.